ACCUGGACCUUUUCGCAUGCUGCUUGUGCUGUUCUGCUAACAACAACAUACUUGUUUUCUUGACAGCAGAAGCUCCAACAUCAACAUCUCAUCCUCCGAUGUCAUUUGAAGUUGAUGGAUCUGGUUUGAACUCAGGAACAUUGAUCGCACCCACCAGUUGUCGCUGUCACCACCAGAGCACACCACGGAAUGCUGCUUGCACUUGGAGCAGUCACCUGUGUAGCAGGAUACAGUUGCAUCUAACACUGCAGGUGGUCCUGAGGUCGGUUGUCUUCCCUACAUGGAUGGAUGUUGGGAUCUAGCUGACCUCUCCUGUAGUCAGACUUCCAAGCGGACCUGGACCUUUUCGCAUGCUGCUUGUGCUGUUCUGCUAACAACAACAUACUUGUUUUCUUGACAGCAGAAGCUCCAACAUCAACAUCUCAUCCUCCGAUGUCAUUUGAAGUUGAUGGAUCUGGUUUGAACUCAGGAACAUUGAUCGCACCCACCAGUUGUCGCUGUCACCACCAGAGCACACCACGGAAUGCUGCUUGCACUUGGAGCAGUCACCUGUGUAGCAGGAUACAGUUGCAUCUAACACUGCAGGUGGUCCUGAGGUCGGUUGUCUUCCCUACAUGGAUGGAUGUUGGGAUCUAGCUGACCUCUCCUGUAGUCAGACUUCCAAGCGGACCUGGACCUUUUCGCAUGCUGCUUGUGCUGUUCUGCUAACAACAACAUACUUGUUUUCUUGACAGCAGAAGCUCCAACAUCAACAUCUCAUCCUCCGAUGUCAUUUGAAGUUGAUGGAUCUGGUUUGAACUCAGGAACAUUGAUCGCACCCACCAGUUGUCGCUGUCACCACCAGAGCACACCACGGAAUGCUGCUUGCACUUGGAGCAGUCACCUGUGUAGCAGGAUACAGUUGCAUCUAACACUGCAGGUGGUCCUGAGGUCGGUUGUCUUCCCUACAUGGAUGGAUGUUGGGAUCUAGCUGACCUCUCCUGUAGUCAGACUUCCAAGCGGACCUGGACCU
Molecule: long non-coding RNA, 1012 nt
Organism: Ylistrum balloti
Lineage: Eukaryota; Metazoa; Mollusca; Bivalvia; Pectinida; Pectinidae
Exons: 7
Source: RefSeq, a predicted model, not a curated record